This 75-nucleotide transfer RNA is filed under the name Candidatus Undinarchaeales archaeon. Its description in RNAcentral is "tRNA-Arg". It matches the Rfam family "tRNA". From Rfam's summary of the family: Transfer RNA (tRNA) molecules are approximately 80 nucleotides in length. Their secondary structure includes four short double-helical elements and three loops (D, anti-codon, and T loops). Lineage: Archaea; Nanobdellati; Candidatus Undinarchaeota; Candidatus Undinarchaeia; Candidatus Undinarchaeales. The record is from RNAcentral.
ACCACCGUAGCCUAGUUUGGAUAAGGCGUUUCCCUCCUAAGGAAAAGGUCGAGAGUUCAAAUCUCUCCGGUGGUG